UACCAGCACCCCGAGUGGUCGGGACGAUUAUUGGGCCUAAAGCAUCCGUAGCCGGUUCUACAAGCCUUCCGUUAAAUCCACCUGCUUAACAGAUGGGCUGCGGAGGAUACUAUAGAGCUAGGAGGCGGGAGAGGCAAGCGGUACUUAGUGGGUAGGGGUAAAAUCCGUUGAUCCAUUGAAGACCACCAGUGGCGAAGGCGGCUUGCCAGAACGCACUCGACGGUGAGGGAUGAAAGCUGGGGGAGCAAACCGG
RNAcentral lists this ribosomal RNA (253 nucleotides) under uncultured bacterium. Its description in RNAcentral is "partial 16S ribosomal RNA". It matches the Rfam family "Archaeal small subunit ribosomal RNA", at positions 474 to 727 of the family's 1478-position model. The record is from RNAcentral.